RNAcentral lists this ribosomal RNA (1349 nucleotides) under uncultured bacterium. RNAcentral's name for it is "bacterial SSU rRNA". It matches the Rfam family "Bacterial small subunit ribosomal RNA", at positions 28 to 1381 of the family's 1533-position model. The record is from RNAcentral.
GAUGAACGCUAGCGGCAGGCCUAAUACAUGCAAGUCGAGGGGUAGAGAGAGCUUGCUCUCUUGAGACCGGCGCACGGGUGCGUAACGCGUAUGCAACCUACCUUAAUCAGGGGGAUAGCCCGGAGAAAUCCGGAUUAACACCGCAUAAAAUCACAGGAUAGCAUUAUCCAAUGAUCAAAUAUUUAUAGGAUUAAGAUGGGCAUGCGUGUCAUUAGUUAGUUGGCGGGGUAACGGCCCACCAAGACCACGAUGACUAGGGGAUCUGAGAGGAUGACCCCCCACACUGGUACUGAGACACGGACCAGACUCCUACGGGAGGCAGCAGUAAGGAAUAUUGGUCAAUGGAGGCAACUCUGAACCAGCCAUGCCGCGUGCAGGAAGACAGCCCUCUGGGUCGUAAACUGCUUUUAUCUGGGAAUAAACCUUUCUACGUGUAGAGAGCUGAAUGUACCAGAGGAAUAAGGAUCGGCUAACUCCGUGCCAGCAGCCGCGGUAAUACGGAGGAUCCAAGCGUUAUCCGGAUUUAUUGGGUUUAAAGGGUGCGUAAGCGGCCUGUUAGUCAGGGGUGAAAGGCGGUAGCUCAACUAUCGCAGUGCCCUUGAUACUGACGGGCUUGAAUGAACUAGAGGUAGGCGGAAUGUGACAAGUAGCGGUGAAAUGCAUAGAUAUGUCACAGAACACCGAUUGCGAAGGCAGCUUACUAUGGUUUUAUUGACGCUGAGGCACGAAAGCGUGGGGAUCAAACAGGAUUAGAUACCCUGGUAGUCCACGCCCUAAACGAUGAAUACUCGCUGUUAGCGAUAUACAGUUAGCGGCUAAGCGAAAGCGUUAAGUAUUCCACCUGGGGAGUACGCCCGCAAGGGUGAAACUCAAAGGAAUUGACGGGGGCCCGCACAAGCGGAGGAGCAUGUGGUUUAAUUCGAUGAUACGCGAGGAACCUUACCCGGGCUUGAAAGUUAGUGAAGUAUCCAGAGAUGGAUACGUCCGCAAGGACACGAAACUAGGUGCUGCAUGGCUGUCGUCAGCUCGUGCCGUGAGGUGUUGGGUUAAGUCCCGCAACGAGCGCAACCCCUAUGUUUAGUUGCCAGCACGUUAUGGUGGGGACUCUAAACAGACUGCCUGUGCAAACAGAGAGGAAGGAGGGGACGACGUCAAGUCAUCAUGGCCCUUACGUCCGGGGCUACACACGUGCUACAAUGGACGGUACAGAGGGCAGCUAGACAGCAAUGUUAUGCCAAUCUCAAAAAGCCGUUCACAGUUCGGAUAGAGGUCUGCAACUCGACCUCUUGAAGUUGGAUUCGCUAGUAAUCGCAGAUCAGCAAUGCUGCGGUGAAUACGUUCCCGGGCCU